UUGUUGGUAAGGUAAAAGCUUACCAAGGCUUCGAUCAGUAGCUGGUCUGAGAGGACGGCCAGCCACACUGGGACUGAGACACGGCCCAGACUCCUACGGGAGGCAGCAGUGGGGAAUUUUGGACAAUGGGGGCAACCCUGAUCCAGCCAUGCCGCGUGAGUGAAGAAGGCCUUCGGGUUGUAAAGCUCUUUCAGCCGGAACGAAACGGUUACGGAUAACACCCGUGACUACUGACGGUACCGGAAGAAGAAGCACCGGCUAACUACGUGCCAGCAGCCGCGGUAAUACGUAGGGUGCGAGCGUUAAUCGGAAUUACUGGGCGUAAAGCGUGCGCAGGUGGUUUUGUAAGUCAGAUGUGAAAGCCCCGGGCUCAACCUGGGAACUGCGUUUGAAACUACAAGACUAGAGUGUGGCAGAGGGGGGUGGAAUUCCGCGUGUAGCAGUGAAAUGCGUAGAGAUGUGGAGGAACACCGAUGGCGAAGGCAGCCCCCUGGGUCAACACUGACGCUCAGGCACGAAAGCAUGGGGAGCAAACAGGAUUAGAUACCCUGGUAGUCCAUGCCCUAAACGAUGUCAACUAGUUGUCGGGCCUUUACGGGCUUGGUAACGUAGCUAACGCGUGAAGUUGACCGCCUGGGGAGUACGAUCGCAAGAUUAAAACUCAAAUGAAUUGACGGGGACCCGCACAAGCGGUGGAUUAUGUGGAUUAAUUCGAUGCAACGCGAAAAACCUUACCUACCCUUGACAUGUAUCGAAGCCCGCAGAAAAGCGGGGGUGCCCGAAAGGGAACGAUAACACAGGUGCUGCAUGGCUGUCGUCAGCUCGUGUCGUGAGAUGUUGGGUUAAGUCCCGCAACGAGCGCAACCCUUGUCAUUAAUUGCCAUCAUUUAGUUGGGCACUUUAAUGAGACUGCCGG
Molecule: ribosomal RNA, 916 nt
Filed under: uncultured bacterium
Lineage: Bacteria
Description: bacterial SSU rRNA
Rfam family: Bacterial small subunit ribosomal RNA
Source: RNAcentral